ACGAUAUUACUGAAAUAUUUAGUAUAAUUAGUUAAUAUUUAUUUUGUUAGAGUAGGUCUUGUGCUAAAUAGUGAUACUAGAAGCUACAUUUAUAAUAUUUACCUCAGUUAAAAAAUACUGCUGGUAACGUUAAAGCACUGACGGGCUUGUUAAAUACAUUUUGUUCCUGGUUUUAAUGAAUUACGUUACAGUCCUGCUUUAUUUCUUUGUCAUUUUCAAUUAAAUUGCCAAGCACAAUAAGACAGCUGUGUUGUAAGGAGACGAAAUUCGAGACAGGGGUGUUAUUUCAAUGAAGCGCGUGGUCAAAGGAACCGGGUGGAAGACGGUGGAAGGGAAAUUAUAUAUAACCAUGGUUAAUAAAUGGUCAGACACGUCACUGGCUUUAAAAUAUAAACCCCAUUGAUGCAAAAAGAUGCUGCAUGGAAUGACAAUGUGGUUUGGAACAGACUUGGUGAAGAACAUGGAAACAUCUCUUAAUAAAAUGGCCCCAAACAUCAUCAGGAGUGCAAAAGAAGGAAGUAAAAACAUCUCUACGCCAAUCUCAUUGGAGAGGAAACCACAGAAGGUCUGGUGAGGAAUGCUGCACUUAUGUUAUUGCAAGCAUUAUUUCAAGAAAAUCCCAGCUUCCUUUACUGUGUAAAUAGUGAACCCAAAGGUCCCACACCAACCAUAGUGUUCAACGGCUCUCCUGAUCUUUUCAAAUCUGAAUGUAUCAACUUUAUAAUGGACAAUGUGAACUUAAUAUGUGGAAGACAUUGACAUCACAGGCUGUGGAAUGACUGUGUCACAGGUCGGAGAAGCGGACCGCCCCUGUCGCGGAUCACGCUCCUCCUAGUUCCACCUCGAGGAGGUCCCAAAGCACCCCAAUGACCAGACAAACCAGAGGGGGAGUAUUACGGGGCCAGGGACGUUGGAGGGGUUUCCACGUGACUCCAGCUGGAACACCGCUACAGAGCGUAUCUAGGUGGGUUGGGCACACACCGUCGCGGCGGCCCCUGAUGGCAUCCACAAGGGUCCAAGACCCUCCUAAGCUCCUAGCCGUAGCAGAACUACGUAUUUCAGCACCCAAAGGACUAACAACCCAGCCGGCAUCUGCAGCGUAUAUCCAACGCGAUCAAACUUCACUCUGACAAGUAACUUCCUAUACACAACCACGCCGUCCUUUCGCCCGGACCAGCCCCGCACUCUUUCCGCCCGCUACCUAGCGGUCGCCGGAUCAGCAGAGCCUGCGGACUCUUCGGAGGCUGGUCUUCGUUGUGCUGCCC
Molecule: non-coding RNA, 1265 nt
Organism: Misgurnus anguillicaudatus (oriental weatherfish)
Lineage: Eukaryota; Metazoa; Chordata; Actinopteri; Cypriniformes; Cobitidae
Source: RefSeq, a predicted model, not a curated record